CGAAAGAAGCAAGAGUGCAGAUCGCGGUGGGAUUCCAGGAGCUCUCACAAACAACCCCGCUCGGACCCACUCACAUGCAACCCACGGGCAGGUGGCAGAGGAAUCGGAAAGGCAGAAGGCUGGAAUCGCCACAAAGCCAGGGCAGCACUGGUUCCAGUUUCAGACCAUUUUCAGAAACAAAAACUCUUCCAGCACCCGGAAAAUUUUCACUUAGAAAAACAAAAGCCAGGAGUUGUGAUGGGGAAGUUGGAAGACUUUAUUUAGUUUUAUUCCUCUCAAGUACUGUGCAAAAUGUUCAGUGAAUACUUUCCUAGAGAUCACUAAUGGGAAGAAAAAGACCCUACGGCAGGCACUGCCUUUUAUGAGAAAGUGGCAUUGGCAUCAGAAUACCUCGCAUAAACCUGAGCCAAGCAUUGGGAUGAUGUAUCUACCAAAAAGUCACAAAGUAAUGUGAUCCCCAACUUUUCUUCCUUUACCUCUGAAGUAAGAGAACAAUAUAUACACUAAAUAGCAUCAUAAAACUGGUACCCUCGUUGGAAUAGUAUCUGACAAUCAUUGUCUGCUUCUUGGAUUUCUACAAACCAGUGACCUAAAAGCCAGUUUCAAGUGUAAAAAUGCCUGCACAGGAGGUGGGAACAAGGGCCGCCAAAGGCUUAGGAAUGAAAACCUAGCCACAAACUUGUCUCUCUCUGCAGGAAACUUGCAAGAAAUCUGACAGGAGCGCGCUAGCAUUUUCUGAAAAGCAUUGCUCUCAAAGGAAGCAUCCAUCCUGGCUGCAGCCUCAGCCAUCGGGGAAGGACGAGCUUCUCUGGAAUCAGCUUUCUCAUUUCCCUCUCCCUCCUCUCAAGACAAACAUUUUCUCCCAGCUUGAACGUUCCCCCCGGGCGCGCGGACCUCCUGCCGCCUGGAGCCGAGCUGGCACUGGAGCGCGUCUCCUCCGGAGCGCAGAGGCACCCGACGCCGUGAGGCAGCUCGCAGCCUUUCCCCACGACCUUCUAGAAUAGCCCUGCUCUGCCUCCCUCCGGUCUCCCGAGUGCGCCUGUCAUCCUGCCUCGGGGCGCGCACGAUGCCGGUCGAAAAGGAACCCAGUUUUCAGUGUGCCUUGUUGCCCAAGCCGAGGACUCAGCGGACCUCGCCUUUUUCUCCUGGAAGCCUCGCGGCCCUCCAGAUGGACUCGGAGCGCCCCUGGAGGCUACAGUGACCCGAGUUCUAGGAAGGCCGGGUCCUGGACGCCGCGUGCUGCUGUCCGCCGACCGGUGUCCUCGCAGAGAUAACCUGGCUGAACUCACCGCCCAGCGCUGUCAGUUCUCCCUCAUGACAACCCAAAACUUGACCGGAUUUGUGUUCUGCAGAGAGGAAAAAAAAAAGCGGCCACAGGACACCAAUGCAGUAGCCAGGGUGGGCCUGUGGCUCUGGCUCCAGCCUCCAGGGACACCAGCCAGAGAGAAGGAAGCCAUGCAUGGAGAGCAGCCAAGCAGAUGGAAAAGCGCCGGGCAGGUGCAACAGUCCCGGGCUCCAGCCUCACCCCUGCGCUUUCUGAACACUGGUUCUGGGGACAGCACACUCCCUUUUGCUAGCUUGGAAUGAGAUUUCUAUUUUCUAUAACCAAUGAGUCUUGACUAGUGCACUCCCCCCUGUUCUUAAGAGGGCAAGAACCAAGAUUUAUCUUUAUUGCUCAUCUGUCACCCAAAAGAGGCCAUCACAGAACCAAACACAGUAACAUCCAGGAAAUGCUGAGGUUAAUUGCCAUUCAUUCAUUCAUUCAUUCAGCAAAUACUUAUUGUGAUCUGCUCUGUUCCCAACACUGCUGUAGACCCCGGGGAUUAGCAGUGACUAAAAGCAGAUGAAUAGCAGGAGGUAAGUUAAAAGCAAAGAAGGGGAGGCAGCACUGAGGACCUUACAGGCUGCAGGAAGGGUUUAGGCUUUCACUCUGAGAGGUGAAGGGCGACACUGGAGAAUUCUGAUCAGAGGAGACACGGGUAAGCAGGCUCUUACAAUCCCAGUGAGGCAAGACGGUGCUUGGACAUGAUGGACAGCAGUGGGGCAUGAGAACCAACGAGGUUCUGGAUGCAUCUUAAAGGUAUGGCUUGGGAGAUUUUCUGACUCAUUGGAUGUAGAGAAAAAGAGGAUUUGCAAUAUACCAAGUCACACUGCUCUCAUGCUGCUCGUUAACUCUCCAUUGUGACUUCUGUAAUUUCAGGAUGUCACUCUUUAAUUUCAUUUUAAUGAACUAAUCAUAUGCCAUAAUCUGUAGAUGCACACAGUGAAAGCUCAUCAGACAUCAGUUUCCUUCCCUCCAUCCUCAUGAGAUGCAUGUGCACGUAUCUUCCUCCCCAGAAUGAUACUUAUUAGAGCAACUUUCUUAGGGGUACAUUUCAGAGUGAAGCACAAUGCAAAACUACUUCCAAUUUUAGAGUUUCAGAACCCUCAACCAUGGGCUGUUUGAUAUUAAAUGAAAUUACUGACACUUAUGAGUUUUGAUUCUGAUUUCAUUACAAAUUUGGGAGUGUGUGUUUAAUCAAAAGGUAUUAUUACCUUUAGGUUUAAAAGAUCUUAAAGAAAAUGGAACUCGGAGUCAGUCAUCUGUUCUGAAUGUGGUCAUCUCAAAAAUAUGAGCACAAGGAAGUUUUCUUCCUUCUUGUCAGUUUUGAGUCCAAUGUCAAUACUGUUGUCCUGUGAAAGAUUUUAAGAUUUUAAUAUUUUUUCACAUAAUUUCCUGAU
This is a long non-coding RNA of Pongo pygmaeus (Bornean orangutan), 2721 nucleotides long. RefSeq lists it as uncharacterized. The transcript has 4 exons. The record is from RefSeq and is a predicted model, not a curated record. NCBI's taxonomy places the organism in Eukaryota, Metazoa, Chordata, Mammalia, Primates, Hominidae.